RNAcentral lists this small nuclear RNA (22 nucleotides) under Arabidopsis thaliana (thale cress). RNAcentral's name for it is "snRNA_10153". The record is from RNAcentral. Lineage: Eukaryota; Viridiplantae; Streptophyta; Magnoliopsida; Brassicales; Brassicaceae.
UUCAUCCAAGAGACCAACAAAG